UGGGGAAUUUUGGACAAUGGGGGCAACCCUGAUCCAGCCAUGCCGCGUGCGGGAAGAAGGCCUUCGGGUUGUAAACCGCUUUUAGUCGGGAAGAAAAGGCGCGGGCGAAUAACCUGCGUUUUUGACGGUACCGGCGGAAUAAGCACCGGCUAACUACGUGCCAGCAGCCGCGGUAAUACGUAGGGUGCGAGCGUUAAUCGGAAUUACUGGGCGUAAAGCGUGCGCAGGCGGUUCGCUGUGUCCGAUGUGAAAGCCCCGGGCUUAACCUGGGAAUGGCAUUGGAAACUGGCGGGCUUGAGUGUGGCAGAGGGGGGUGGAAUUCCGCGUGUAGCAGUGAAAUGCGUAGAGAUGCGGAGGAACACCGAUGGCGAAGGCAGCCCCCUGGGCUAACACUGACGCUCAGGCACGAAAGCGUGGGGAGCAAACAG
This 428-nucleotide ribosomal RNA is filed under the name uncultured bacterium. RNAcentral describes it as "bacterial SSU rRNA". It matches the Rfam family "Bacterial small subunit ribosomal RNA", at positions 355 to 775 of the family's 1533-position model. The record is from RNAcentral.